UGGGGAAUAUUGCACAAUGGAGGAAACUCUGAUGCAGCGACGCCGCGUGAACGAUGAAGGCUUUCGGGUCGUAAAGUUCUGUCCUAGGGGACGAUAAUGACGGUACCCUAGGAGGAAGCCCCGGCUCACUACGUGCCAGCAGCCGCGGUAAUACGUAGGGGGCAAGAGUUGUCCGGAUUUAUUGGGCGUAAAGGGUUCGCAGGUGGUCCUUUAAGUCAGAUGUGAAAGAUCACAGCUCAACUGUGGUAAGCAUUUGAAACUGAAGGACUUGAGUUAAGGAGAGGAAAGUGGAAUUCCUAGUGUAGCGGUGAAAUGCGUAGAUAUUAGGAGGAAUACCAGUGGCGAAGGCGACUUUCUGGACUUAUACUGACGCUGAGGAACGAAAGCGUGGGGAGCAAACAGG
This 403-nucleotide ribosomal RNA is filed under the name uncultured prokaryote. RNAcentral describes it as "bacterial SSU rRNA". It matches the Rfam family "Bacterial small subunit ribosomal RNA", at positions 355 to 776 of the family's 1533-position model. RNAcentral also lists the same sequence under 1 other name. The record is from RNAcentral.